UUUUAGCAAAGGAACAGAAAUCUUUUUGAUUAAACAGAAAUAGAAACAAAAAUUCAGAAAGCAUUGAAGCCCGCAACUUAUAUUCACCUCAAAAUCUUGUUGAACUUUCUGAGGCUGCUCAUAAUUAGCGAAUUCAAUUUAGCUACACUACUAAAUAACAAUGCGUAAGUCCUGUAGAAAAUGCUUGUUUAUUCUUCUCUUUGCCAUUGAAUCAUGGAUUGAACUCAUAGAGACAGGAGCUAUGACUGGGAUCCAUUUCGGUAAUAAUGGCAGCUCCUCUGAAGUAGCAAGAUCCACCUUCGUGCUUGAAUUUCUGGAAGUAGUUGUUGAAAGCAUAUGAAGCAUGGUCUCUUACAGUGUUUGGUAAAUAGCAAGGCUGGUUCACUUGAAUCAUACUACAAUCUGCACCACCUUUCCCACAUGCCCAGUCCAAGGCUGCCUGCAACUCUUCAUCUGAGGUUUGCUCAUCUGCUAUGCACCAUUGCUCCAACUGCCCAUCUGAUCUUGGAGGAGUUAUAGACAUGAUUAGAAGAACAAGCAAUAUCCUUAGCCAGAAGAUUGCCAUCAUACUUAGAAAGAAAGAGAGAUAGAGAUGGUCUCAAUGGUACCGUAUCCACAAUUGGCUUGGUGUCUAGCUCCAAUAUACAGAGCAAAAAGAAAAAGAAAAAAAUUCUGCUCACUUGCUAUGUGCAAAAGUAAGAAUCUUGUGGCCAAUGGCACAUGUAGAGUGAGCAGGUUAAUGCGUUCCAUAUAAGCUGCUUACACCCUAACAAGAUCUCGAUGUUCAGGUCCUCUUUGUCGUUCCUGUAAAAUUUUUGUUCCAGUAUUUGCCCAUGACCUGCAGGUGUCACUCUCUGCCACUGGGCCUUACUUGGCUAAUCAGCUGACAAAUCCUGGCAUACCGUCUCAGCCAAAAUGGUUUUUCCAAGGAACUAAUUUGAAGUGCAGAAGCAAUAUCAAUCAAACUCAUGUUACAACAGCAUAAGC
RNAcentral lists this unclassified non-coding RNA (987 nucleotides) under Hevea brasiliensis (rubber tree). The record is from RNAcentral. Lineage: Eukaryota; Viridiplantae; Streptophyta; Magnoliopsida; Malpighiales; Euphorbiaceae.